RNAcentral lists this ribosomal RNA (460 nucleotides) under uncultured bacterium. RNAcentral describes it as "SSU rRNA". It matches the Rfam family "Bacterial small subunit ribosomal RNA", at positions 26 to 518 of the family's 1533-position model. The record is from RNAcentral.
AGAAUCAACGCUGGCGGCGUGCCUAACACAUGCAAGUCGAACGAGAAAGGGGAGCAAUCCCCGAGUAUAGUGGCGCACGGGUGAGUAACACGUGAAUAAUCUACCUCCGAGUGGGGAAUAACUGAGAGAAAUCUUAGCUAAUACCGCAUAACACUUACGAGUCAAAGCAGCAAUGCGCUUGGAGAGGAGUUCGCGGCCGAUUAGUUAGUUGGCGGGGUAAUGGCCCACCAAGACGAUGAUCGGUAUCCGGCCUGAGAGGGCGCACGGACACACUGGAACUGAAACACGGUCCAGACUCCUACGGGAGGCAGCAGUGGGGAAUUUUGCGCAAUGGGGGAAACCCUGACGCAGCAACGCCGCGUGGAGGAUGAAGUAUCUCGGUACGUAAACUCCUUUCGAUGGGGAAGAUAAUGACGGUACCCAUAGAAGAAGCCCCGGCUAACUUCGCGCCAGCAGCCGC